GCGAGAAAACUUUGCAAUGUGCGAAAGCACGACAAGGUUAAUCCGAGUGGUUUCUGCUAAAGAAACCUUUUGUCAGUCCUAGAAACACUAACGAAUAAGGGGUGGGCAAGUUCUGGUGUCAGCCGCCGCGGUAAAACCAGCACCUCAAGUGGUCAGGAUGAUUAUUGGGCCUAAAGCAUCCGUAGCUCGUUUUGUAAGUUUUCGGUUAAAUCCAUACGCUUAACGUAUGGGCUGCCGGGAAUACUGCAUAACUAGGAAGUGGGAGAGGUAGACGGUACUCGGUAGGAAGGGGUAAAAUCCUUUGAUCUAUUGAUGACCACCUGUGGCGAAGGCGGUCUACCAGAACACGUUCGACGGUGAGGGAUGAAAGCUGGGGGAGCAAACCGGAUUAGAUACCCCGGUAGUCCCUGAGCGGGCUGGCAAGGCGCAU
This 430-nucleotide ribosomal RNA is filed under the name uncultured bacterium. RNAcentral describes it as "bacterial SSU rRNA". It matches the Rfam family "Archaeal small subunit ribosomal RNA", at positions 339 to 776 of the family's 1478-position model. The record is from RNAcentral.